Non-coding RNA from Cinara cedri, 236 nucleotides. NCBI's taxonomy places the organism in Eukaryota, Metazoa, Arthropoda, Insecta, Hemiptera, Aphididae. The record is from the annotation of a GenBank genome assembly.
UGAUAACUUAAUAAAUAUAAAUAUACUGACGAUAAAUCGUUGAAAUAAAAAUAAUACUGCAGAGUGGAGCUCGGUAAACUGAUCAAGUACUUUUUGUUAGCUCAGAAAUCAACAAAUAAUAAUACCGAUGUAUCGUUAUUUGUGUUUGGUUAUUUUUAGAGAAAUUUUCGAAAUUAUAGACAAUUUUUCAAAUAAAAAUGAUCGGGCGAAAAUUUCGCAUCUUUAAAGGUACUGGG